UACGUAGGUGGCGAGCGUUAUCCGGAUUUACUGGGUGUAAAGGGUGUGUAGGCGGGAUGGCAAGUCAGAUGUGAAAAUUACGGGCUUAACUCGUAACCUGCAUUUGAAACUGCUGUUCUUGAGUGUCGGAGAGGUAGAUGGAAUUCCCAGUGUAGCGGUGAAAUGCGUAGAUAUUGGGAGGAACACCAGUGGCGAAGGCGGUCUACUGGACGAUUACUGACGCUGAGACACGAAAGUGUGGGGAG
Molecule: ribosomal RNA, 245 nt
Filed under: uncultured Eubacteriales bacterium
Lineage: Bacteria; Bacillati; Bacillota; Clostridia; Eubacteriales
Description: uncultured Clostridiales bacterium partial 16S ribosomal RNA
Rfam family: Bacterial small subunit ribosomal RNA
Source: RNAcentral